Molecule: long non-coding RNA, 1022 nt
Organism: Drosophila mojavensis
Lineage: Eukaryota; Metazoa; Arthropoda; Insecta; Diptera; Drosophilidae
Exons: 2
Source: RefSeq, a predicted model, not a curated record
CAAGAACCCAACACAGCGUCCCCCAAUCACUAGUACUCUAGUAUGGGAGCGCUUAACUGGCGCCCGAGCAGGGACCCACAUUCUUCACGGAAAUAAAGGGAAAUGGUGACGUGUCAAUAAUUCUAUAAAAAUAACUUAUUAAAAAAAGCAAGUACAAAUAAAUUGUUCCAAUCCAAUUGGGCAAUUGUUGGCAAAAUUACGAAGUACUUCUGCGAUUUGCAAACAAGUGUUGGUGCACUAGAUAAUUCUAUAACAUAAAAGAAAUCGUGGCUAAAUGGUGGUAUUGGCAAUACCUAGGUCAAAUCCGUGUCGAGACGAGUCUUAAAACGAAAAUACAAGAAAUUUGCAGGCAUAAUGGUGGUACGAGAUUGAUUCUCGUAUUGAGGUUCAAGUCCUUGCCGUAAGACAAAUGUCAUAAAAAAUAAACGUCACAAUUUCCACCUGUGUUGAAUGAUGGGUUUCCGUAUAAAUUAAAAGAAACCUAGUGGUCAAAGUUAAGUUUAAAGCACUAACUAUAUAACAAAAUUAAAAGCCGGUUGUCUGGAAAUCUCUAAUCAACAAACAAAGCAUAAAUAUGCAAAAAUAAAAACAUGAAUUGCAGAGACCUUCUAUUCGAUCGUGGAAUAACCCUUACCCUAGUAGGUCUUAGAACCAAAGAGGAAUACUUUGGGCUUCCCUUUCGGAAGGGAAUAAGUCUGGCAACAAUAUAUAAAAGAAAAAAGUAAAAUAAAUAAAUAAAUGAAACGAAAGCAAGAGAGAGACCAGAUGAUUGUGGAACCACCCUCACCUAAGUAGGUCUUACACCAAAAAGGAUCCUGAGGGCUUCCCAAGCCAUAUAAAAUAAUAAAAACUGUUUGCCGGUUCGGUAACAAAAGAUAAUACAACUAGUAAUUGGUAAUUCAAGUAAUUCUAUAACAGACAACACAAUAACACACGUAGUAAUACACAUAACACACGUAAUUCAAUACAAUUAGUAAUUCAAUGAAAUAAUAUAAAAGAAACAAUCAAAUUAAGACUAAGGA